UGAAGAACCAGCCUGCCUCCA
RNAcentral lists this non-coding RNA (21 nucleotides) under Mus musculus (house mouse). The record is from RNAcentral. Lineage: Eukaryota; Metazoa; Chordata; Mammalia; Rodentia; Muridae.